UAGUCUGCAACCCGACUACAUGAAGCUGGAAUCGCUAGUAAUCGCGAAUCAGAAUGUCGCGGUGAAUACGUUCCCGGGUCUUGUACACACCGCCCGUCACACCAUGGGAGUCGGAAAUGCCCGAAGUCAGUGACCUAACCGAAAGGGAGGAGCUGCCGAAGGUGGAGCCGGUAACUGGGGUGAAGUCGUAACAAGGUAGC
RNAcentral lists this ribosomal RNA (200 nucleotides) under uncultured bacterium. RNAcentral's name for it is "partial 16S ribosomal RNA". It matches the Rfam family "Bacterial small subunit ribosomal RNA", at positions 1301 to 1500 of the family's 1533-position model. The record is from RNAcentral.